Molecule: RNA transcript, 2417 nt
Organism: Oncorhynchus keta (chum salmon)
Lineage: Eukaryota; Metazoa; Chordata; Actinopteri; Salmoniformes; Salmonidae
Gene name: C-type lectin domain family 6 member A-like
Exons: 12
Source: RefSeq, a predicted model, not a curated record
GCAUCACUGAGACAGACAGCAUACAAAGAAAUCGACAGACUAUACACACAGUACCCGUUAUUAUCAUCAUCAUCAUUGAGAUAUGGAGAUAGAAGAGGACCUCUAUGCCAAUGUAGAGGAGAUCAGUGUGAAAGACUGUGAUGAUCUGGCUGCAGGUUAUGAGACUUUACACCAGAGUCCACAGGCUGGAACAAGACUGAAGCAUGAGAAUCAGAACUGUCAGCCUUACAAGCUGGCUACAGUUUCUCUGGGACUGCUGUGCCUUCUCCUACUAAGCACAGUCAUAGGUCUCUCUGUGCUCUAUGACGAUGACUACAAUCAACUGUCCAGAACUCAGUAUCUCCUAACAGCCAACCACACCACAGAGCUUCAGACUAGUUAUGAAAACCUGACUAAAGAGAAAGAACAGUUGGAGAAGGAGAGAGACCAGUUACAGAUCAGUUAUAAAAGCUUGACUAAAGAAAGAGACCAGUCACAAACUCAUUAUAACACCAUAACUAGAGAGAGAGACCAGUUACAAAGGAAAAUUUCAGAGCAGGAGAAAAAGAUAUCAGAAGAACUGGGAUGCUGCCCUGACGGUUGGAGGAGAUUCGGAUCUAGCUGCUAUUACCUUUCAACAGAGAGUAAAACUUGGACUGAGAGCAGAGCAGACUGUAUAAGGGGAGGAGCAGACCUGGUGAUCAUAAACAGCAGAGAGGAACAGGUGUUUCUAAACAAAAUGGGAAAAGAUGUGCACUUCUGGAUUGGUCUGACUGACUCAGAGAUGGAAGGUUUCUGGAAAUGGGUGGAUGGAACAACAUCAACAACAACGUUCUGGAGAAGAGGAGAGCCAAAUAAUGCUGAUGGGGAGGAGGAUUGUGUGGUAUUCAACAGGUUUAUUCAUCUGUCUUGGGACUGGGAAAUGAUUCAGUCAUGGAAUGACCAGCCUUGCACAGACAUUCAGAGCAUCGAUGAGACAGACAGCAUACAAAGACAGAAACUAUACACGCAGUACCAGUUAUCAUCAUCAUUGAGAUAUGGAGAUAGAAGAGGACAUCUAUGCCAAUGUAGAGGAGAUCAGUGUGAAAGACUGUAAUGAUCCGGCUGCAGGUUACGAGACUUUACACCAGAGUCCACAGGCUGGAACAAGACUGAAGCAUGAGAAUCAGAACUCUCAGCCUUGGAGGAUGGCUACAGUUUCCCUGGGCCUGCUGUGUGUUGUCUUACUGAUCACAGUCACAAGCCUCUCUGUGCACUAUGAUGAACAGUACUACGGACUGUCCAGACUCCAGACUUCAUACAACAACCUGACUGAGGAGAUAAUCCGGCUGCAGAGGUCAGUUUCAGAGCAGGAGAAGAAGAUAUCAGAGCUUGGACCCUGUCCUGAUGGCUGGAGGAGACACAGAUGUAGCUGUUAUUACUUCUCUAAUAACAGUAAAACUUGGAGUGAGAGCAGACAAGACUGCAGAGAGAGAGGAGCAGAUCUGUUGAUCAUAAACAGCAGAGAGGAACAGCAUUUUCUAAACACAUUGGGGGGGGAAAUGCAUUUCUGGAUUGGUCUGACUGACUCAGAGCAGGAAGGGAUCUGGAAAUGGGUGGAUGGAACAACAUCAACCACAACACAGUUCUGGAGAAAAGGAGAGCCAAAUAAUGCCCAGGGGGGUGAGAACUGUGCAGUCUUCAACAGCUUCAGAGAUACCCUGGGAAUUAUACAAUCAUGGAAUGACCAGCCUUGCUCAUUGCUUAUCCAUUGGGUAUGCAACUACACACCUGACGUGUCCUCCUAAUAGGCCUACACAUCGUGAUGGCAUCUGCCACACAGGAGAAUAUCUGAAUUCCAUUGUAAAAAAAAACGAAGCAUCACCUACAAGUUGAUGCUGACAAGUCCUGGCAGGAAAACAAAUGACCCAUAACACAUGUAAAAAAAAAAAAAAGUCCCGCUAAUUGGCUAACGAUUCAAAUGAAAGCUAACAUUGAAUCGACGUCAGACGUUAAUUCUUCAAGUCGGCUGUUUUUGGCAUAUGUUUCAGAUAAUCUGAAUUCCCUUUUGAAUUUGCAAUAGAUUGUUUAGAUUUUUUCCGACACAAAGGUUAAUGUCUCCUGCAUUUCAUUAGUAGCACAAAUUGUAGAGAAAAUUCAAAUGAAUCUUGACAAAACAUUCCUGUUGACUAUGACUAAUAUGCGCCCUCUACUGACUAGAGAGGCAUAUAGAAGGUCAAAGGGCAGAACAUCACAGUAGCAGGUGGAAUUACUUCAGAUUUGCUUAAGAGAAAUGAUUGUGUUGUAAUAUGAGAAUGCAACUAAAUUGGAAGCUGAUGCGACUUGUAGGUUCAGUCAUAAUCUAUCCACCCAACAGUGGCUUCCACUGUGAACAAGACAGCUGCUUUACAAUGAUCAUUUCUUUGUCAGAUGGAAUGAUUUUACAAAUAAACAUUUUU